This is a non-coding RNA of Triticum urartu, 1496 nucleotides long. The record is from RefSeq and is a predicted model, not a curated record. NCBI's taxonomy places the organism in Eukaryota, Viridiplantae, Streptophyta, Magnoliopsida, Poales, Poaceae.
GCUUCAUCCCGAACGCCAGCAUCAAUCCUAUCUUCUUCUCCCCUUGCUCCACCGCUCAGAGCACACUGCUCUGUCUCCGCCACGCAAUACAGAGAGGAGUGGCCUUCGCCGGCGACGAGGCUCCUCCCUGACCAGAUCCCGCCACAGUCGCGGCGGCAGGGGUCGAGGGAUCCGCGGAGGGGGCCAGGGAUUUGGCGUUCGCUACAGCCGAGCACCAGGUACUGCCGCGCUACGACUCAGCUCCUCGCCGACCGGAGCGAGGUGCCGUCGCGGUCCGAGGCCGAGCGCCGCCGCGAGCACCAGGCCGCCGCGCUCGGGGCGACGCUGCCCGCACCAUCCCUGCGAUGCGCCCACCUCCAACCCGGCGGCGAUGGCGAUGUCCGCGAGGCCCUGGGCGCGAGGGAGGCGAUGGCGACCAGCUGAAGCGGCGGCGCCGUCAUCCUACACCGGGAGGCGGGGCCUGGUGGCGCACGAGGCUGCGGGACGCGGAAGGGGGAGAAGCAAUGGAGGUACUGACGGGCGCGGUGCUGUUCGAGGAGGCGGGGCGCGGAGGGAGAGAGCAGUGGAGGUGCUGACGCUGACGCCGCGGCGCUUCAUGGAGGUCAACUAGGAGGUGGACGAGGCCUUGCGGCUCGCAGCCGACCUGCUCGCCGAUGCGCCAAUAGGGAUCUGCUCGCCGGCGGGGACGCCAUUUUCUUCUAGUGAUGUGCGGAUGGUGAACUGCUCACCGGGAUUCACCCCGAGCCCAGGGAGUUGGAGUAUCGGGGAUAGGAUAUGUGCAUCGAGCAGAUUUUAGAUUUCUGGUUCACAUGGGUACACAUUGGGUACAUCUUGACAAUAUUUUUUCUGGAAUAGUUUCUUUUGAGCAUGGCAAAUUGUGUAGAACAUGAUAUUUAGUACAAUAUGGCAAAUUGGCAACUAGUGUGUAGUGUUUAGCACUGUUUAGUGUUGUUUGUCCUCCUGCGAGAAUUAUAUUCAGUAAUUUCCCAUGGCAUUUGUCCUCCUGUAUUUAGUCUGUAGUGCAAAUUUUGUAAACUUGCCAUGUGAUCAGUACAUACAAACUCUAGCUUUGAAAUGAAUCAUGAAUCGGAUUUUCUCUAGAUUUUGCCAUGAAUCAAAAGUAUAUAUUGUUGAACACUGCUUUGCCAUGGCAAAAAGGAUUUUAUAGCUUUUGGCAUGCCUCUAAUAUAGCUUUUUCCAUGUCACCACUAUAACUUUUGGCAUGACAUACACAUAUUUUUUUACCAUGGCAAAUUUGCUAAUCUAUUUGCCAUGCCUCUAAUAUAGUUUUCGCCAUGUCACCACUACAACUUUGGCCAUGUUCACAUGGAGUAGUAAAAAAACAAAUUUGAGUUGAUUGUAGAAAUAUGUGUUUGUUUCCCUUUUUUUGACUUUGUAGGAUUGAUGAUGACCACAUUAAGCAUGGCAACUUUUAAGAGAUCUGAUUUUGCUUUUGUACUUACUACUGCAAAUCCACCCAGACCAAACGACGGCGU